CAGCCAUGGAGCUGCCUGUGGCAGGGGAGUGUGGAACAGGCUCCAGACACGUGGGGCCGGAAUGGAGAUGGGUCUCCCUGGCAGCCGGGACUGAAGCUUGAAAUCAAUCCUGAACAAAUAUUAUAUUAAUUUCCCAACUCCAUCCCUCUUCUGGACCCAUCUCGCGGCCUUCCUCGGUUCUCUGUGGCCGAGAGCGUGGUGGUAUUGGAUCGCCUUGGGAGCGGACGAAGGCUGGGGGGAGCGGAGCGGGGGAUAUGAUUUGCAAUCCACGAGGGUCCUACAAGUCA
Ornithorhynchus anatinus (platypus) is the source of this 287-nucleotide long non-coding RNA. RefSeq lists it as uncharacterized. Lineage: Eukaryota; Metazoa; Chordata; Mammalia; Monotremata; Ornithorhynchidae. The transcript is spliced from 2 exons. The record is from RefSeq and is a predicted model, not a curated record.